Molecule: ribosomal RNA, 440 nt
Filed under: uncultured bacterium
Lineage: Bacteria
Description: partial 16S ribosomal RNA
Rfam family: Bacterial small subunit ribosomal RNA
Source: RNAcentral
CCUACGGGAGGCAGCAGUGGGGAAUAUUGCACAAUGGGGGAAACCCUGAUGCAGCGACGCCGCGUGAGUGAUGAAGUAUUUCGGUAUGUAAAGCUCUAUCAGCAGGGAAGAUAAUGACGGUACCUGACUAAGAAGCCCCGGCUAAAUACGUGCCAGCCGCCGCGGGAAUACGUAGGGAGCAAGCGUUAUCCGGAUUUACUGGGUGUAAAGGGAGCGCAGACGGAAGGGCAAGUAUGAAGUGAAAGUCCGGGGCUCAACCCCGGGACUGCAUUGGAAACUGUCCGGCUAGAGUGCAGGAGAGGUAAGUGGAAUUCCUAGUGUAGCGGUGAAAUGCGUAGAUAUUAGGAGGAACACCAGUGGCGAAGGCGGCUUACUGGACUGUAACUGACGUUGAGGCUCGAAAGCGUGGGGAGCAAACAGGAUUAGAUACCCUAGUAGUC